UUUAUGGAGAGUUUGAUCCUGGCUCAGGACGAACGCUGGCGGCGUGCCUAAUACAUGCAAGUCGAGCGAGGCCUUCGGGCCUAGCGGCGGACGGGUGAGUAACACGUGGGUAACCUGCCUGUAAGACUGGGAUAACUUCGGGAAACCGAAGCUAAUACCGGAUAACAUUUUUGGUUGCAUGACCGAAAAUUGAAAGGUGGCUUUUAGCUAUCACUUACAGAUGGACCCGCGGCGCAUUAGCUAGUUGGUGAGG
RNAcentral lists this non-coding RNA (253 nucleotides) under Bacillus coahuilensis p1.1.43. RNAcentral's name for it is "Bacterial small subunit ribosomal RNA". It matches the Rfam family "Bacterial small subunit ribosomal RNA", at positions 1 to 257 of the family's 1533-position model. The record is from Rfam by way of RNAcentral. Lineage: Bacteria; Bacillati; Bacillota; Bacilli; Caryophanales; Bacillaceae.